This 362-nucleotide transfer-messenger RNA is filed under the name Gammaproteobacteria bacterium. It matches the Rfam family "transfer-messenger RNA". From Rfam's summary of the family: Bacterial tmRNA, also known as 10Sa RNA or SsrA, is named for its dual tRNA and mRNA-like properties. Its role is to liberate the mRNA from a stalled ribosome. Lineage: Bacteria; Pseudomonadati; Pseudomonadota; Gammaproteobacteria. The record is from RNAcentral.
GGGGGUGACAUGGCUUCGACGUGGGUCGCGAAACUCCAGGUGCAUGCCGAGGAACAGAUAACCUCGUAAAUCCAGCUGUAAAACCUAUAGUUGCCAACGACGACAACUACGCACUAGCUGCUUAAAAACCAGCCUAGCGCCCUCUGACCGGCACGUGCCUGUGCGUUCGGAACUCAGGGGUCGACUCCACAGGACCGCGACCAGCGUUUGUUCAGGACGAAGGUCGUCAAAUCCUUACUGAACUGGCUAUGAGUCUUCCCUGCCCGUCGGGUAGCUGAUAGUGAGAUCAACGACGGAAUAAGCAUGUAGACCUUGGGGCAGAGGAUUUGCGGACGUGGGUUCGAUUCCCACCACCUCCACCA